Molecule: non-coding RNA, 22138 nt
Organism: Podarcis lilfordi (Lilford's wall lizard)
Lineage: Eukaryota; Metazoa; Chordata; Lepidosauria; Squamata; Lacertidae
Source: the annotation of a GenBank genome assembly
AAUCAGUUGCCCAUGAGAAGCCUGCAAAAAGAACUUGAGUGCAACAACACUCUUCCUCCUUCUGAUUCCCAGGAACUGGCUGCCUUCAGCUCUAACCAGGUGGAGAUUGAAUCUUACCUGUAGACAGCAACUUAUAAUGCAAAUGCUUUAAUAUGAGCUUACGCUUCAUUUUUGAAAUAGUUUUGGAGCGAGUAGAAUUGGCUCAGACACCCAUCCUUCAAAAGCAGACAUAUUUAGUGUGCUGUGGAAUGUUGAUUUCUUCCAGCAGAUGCUACAGAUUAUGGCUUGUCUACUCCAUUUACAGAACCGGGGAUAAUAACCUGUGAACUUCUUAUAACAUGUCACUUAUUUGAACAAUGAAGGGGUGGAUCAGAGGACAGAGAGAGACACCAGCUCCUUUGAAGGUGAGUUGUUUUUGGUCCAAAUCUCUUUCUAACUGUGAUAGUUGAAUGUAAGGACAAUAACACUCUUUACCAACCUUGUGCCCUCUGAGAUUUGGGGACUCAUGAUCCCUUGUCAAGAGUCAAUCUGGCUGGGGUUGAUGGGAGCUGUGUAUUUCCAAACAUUCAGAAUGGGUAAGGCUCCAAUAGUAGUUUUUUCUCUGGUGGUUAUACCAUGUGAUCCUAUGAAGGAACACAGUGACAUGAGAAUCACACAGUAACCAGCAGGGAGCUUUGGAUUAAACAUGUUGAAAUCCCUCAUCACACUGAGAGCCAGUGUGGUGUAGUGGUUAAGAGUGUUGGGAUACUGCCAGGGAGACAGAGGCCAUCAUGGUUCCACGUCGUCUCCGGACGAUCCAUCGAUCUCCUGUAGAUACAGUAUCAGUCAAUUAGCGACACGAAGCCUCAGAAAUAGCUUGCCACAUUCCAGAGCUCGUGCACGCUCUAUCAGCAGAGUUCGCACAACGAAAGGCGCACUCAGGAGAGCAUUAUUUACAACUUUAUUCAGCGUUGAUCAGAACAAAGAAAAAACAUGACUGCCUGCUUCGAUGUCUCAGGCACAGAGAGAGAAAACAACAGCUAUAGACAAAACAGAAACUUCCUGUGAACAGGAAAUACACAGACUCUGUGACUCACAAAGCCUGCUCCCUUUUAAGGUGGAACGGAAAUAUCCUAACAAAGAGCAGUAGACUCGUAAUCUGGGGAACCGGGUUCGCAUCUCCGCUCCUCCACAUGCAGCUGCUGGGUGACCUUGGGCUAGUCACACUUCUUUGAAGGCUCUCAGCCCCACUCACCUCACAGAGUGUUUGUUGUGGGGGAGGAAGUGAAAGGAGAAUGUUAGCCGCUUUGAGACUCCUGAAGGGGAGUGAAAGGCGGGAUAUCAAAUCCAAACUCUUCUUCUUCUUCUUCCUUCAGGUAGUGAUAAAGCAGGAUAUCAAAUCCAAACUCUUCUUCUUGUUGUUGUUUUCACAAGUUGAUUUCAGCCUUUGGAUAAAGCCCUUGGAAUCUUGUGUAAAUGAACCUUUGGGUACUAAGUACAUGACACAGAAAAUGCUGCAAAUUAUUAUUAUUAUUAUUAUUAUUAUUAUUACCCCGCCCAUCUGGCUAGGUUUCCCCAGCCACUCUGGGCGGCUUCCAACAAAGUAUUAAAAUACAGUGGUCUGCUGAACAUUAAAAGCUUCCCUAAAGAGGGCUGCCUUCAGAUGUCUUCUAAAAGUCUGGUAGUUGUUCUUCUCUUUGACAUCUGGUGGAAGGGCGUUCCACAGGGUGGGUGCCACUACCGAGAAGGCCCUCUUCCCUGUAACUUGGCUUCUCGCAGUCAGAGAACCCCCAGAAGGCCCUCGGCGCUGGACCUCAGUGUCCAGGCAGAAUGAUGGGGGUGGAGACCCUCCUUCAGGUAUACUGGACCAAGGCCGUUUAGGGCUUUAAAGGUCAGCACCAACACUUUGAAUUGCGCUCGGAAACAUACUACAAAUAACUAUAUAACAAUAAUGGUUGACGGGUGUUGGGUAUGUUUAGCCUGGAGAAGACAAGACAGAGAGGUCUUAUGAUAGUCAUCUUCAAAUAUCUGAAGGACUGCCACAUGGAAGGUGGUGCAAGCUUGUUUUCUGCAUCUACAGAGGAUAGGACUCGAACCAUUGGUUCGAGUUAUAAGAAAGGAGAUUCCGACUAAACAUUACAAACUACUUUCUAACGCUAAGAGCUGUCUGGCAGUGGAAUAGACUCCCUCAGAUGGUGGCAGACUCUCCUUCCUUGGAGGUUUUUAAGCAGAAGAUGGAUGGCAAUUUGCCAUGUCUUAUCUAACUGAGAUUCCUGCAUUGGAGAGGUUUGGACUAGAUGAUCGUUGAGAGUCUCCUCUAAGUCUACAGUUCUAUGAUUCUUUGAACUGAGAUGCAGAGGCAAUUUGGUCAGCUUGCAGUUGUCAGGAAAAGCCUCAUACUCUCCUGAAGCAGUCCCCACUGAGCCACUGCCACAUGCCAGUCUGCCUUCAUAACAGGAAUUGCCAACUUCUGGCGACCCAUAGGCACAUAUGGUCAGGACCCAUAGGCACAUAUGCAUGCAGGAGCCAGGCCCUGUGACCAGUAGGACUUUGCAGGACUAGGGCCUUCCUAAGUUUGUUCUGAAGAGGCAAGGUGCAGCCGCACAGGUGAGGCCGAUUGGUAACUCACAGCACCAGGUGGCAAGAGCUGGGAAGGAAUAUAAGGUCAGCAUUUCCCUUCGGCUCUUUGCCACAGCAACACGCUCCCUGCCUUGCUGCAUUUGGCUCCUUGACUCCUUGCUUCUUGAUCCUCCGACCCCUGACUUUGUGACUCCUGGCUCUCCGACCCUUGGACUCUUGGCUUCCUGACUCCUGGCUUCUGGACUCCCAUUCCUGCUCCCACCCUACCCCUGGGUCCAGACGACCCCAGCUGGGACUUUGAUCGCCCAUGAACCAGACCGUGACACAUAUGCAACACCAGAGGGGCUGAAUUACACACCACACACAGACCCUGCAACCAAUUCCAUUAGCUACCAUAGAAUGCUUCUUUUGAGUCUAACUUGCAGAGGGAGGAGAGAGAACGCUGUGGGUACCAGGGAAGGCUUCUGCAGGUGCAUGGGCAUGCGCCCACGGGCACCGUGUUGGUGACUCCUGCUCCAUAAUACGCAGCGCAAGAGGAGGUGGAAAUGCUGGUUAAAUGCUCACAAACUUGACAAAAAUAAGGGUGGUGGUUUUUUUUUUCACUGACUCAAAACUAGACCCACAGCUGAGCUCUACAUAACCAAAUGAUCUAAUUUCCAAGUAGGAGAAAAAUCUCCAUGGCAUUCUGUACAAUCCCCAUGAAAAAAAGUUGUUUUUUAAAUAAUGAAAGCCAACUAAUGAAAUGAGUAUUUCACAGCAAAGGCCCUGCCUAGAAUUCAUUGGGGUAAAAGGGAUGAUAGUGUCUUUCCUUCGUGGAAAUACUGACAAAUGUCUAGACUUUUGAAAGAAGGACUCCAGAGGAAGAGAUAAGUACCAACUUAGCUUUCUGUUAUAAAAACAAAGCUGAAAGACAUUCAAAUGUACAAAAGAAGCAAGAUGUAAUGAUUUAGCAAUUUAGCAAUUGCUACGAGUGCUCUUUAAGGCGAAAUGAUGCAGACGCAGGGUUUCCCCCCAGCUGCAAGCAUCUGGAAUAUUUUUUUAGUCCUUUGAAAACAGUCGUACUUGAGAGAAUUAUGUCUAUGGUUAGAUCACACGAGCACCACUCUAUGAGCACCGGAACUCAGAUCCACUUGCAGGUCCUACUAUUCAUAUGCUUUGAAAUGGAUCUCUGGAUUCAUAAUAGCUAGGAAUUUCCUUUUGCUAACCAAUGGAAACUGAAAAUCUGAAGAUUCAUCAGCAGGUAUGCAAAAAGCAAAGCUUGACCCAUAAGGAAAAUUCCAGGUUGGUGCAGAAUGUCAUGGCUAAAGAAGUGCAGAAAGACGAUUCUCCGUAUUGAUUUGUUGCACCUUGAGAUCUUCAUAGCAAAAAGGAUGUUUUCCAAUAAAUAAUAAUAAUAAUAAUAAUAAUAAUAAUAAUAAUAAUUUAUCAUUUAUACCCCACCCAUCUAACUGGGUUUCCAUUACUAAUGGUUUAGUAAUGCUAAUAAUAUUUUAUUAUCCAUUUAAUUUGUGAAAUCUUGAAGUGAUUCAUCAUCAUCAUCAAUGAAAAUGAUGCAUUAAGACAAUUUCAAAUCCAGUGCAAACUGGAAUAAGAGCCUCCGCUUGAAAGGCUUGUAAAAUGAAGGUCUUUGGUAUGUGAUGAAAAGAUAAUAGACAUGCCUCAUAUGCAAGGUGAGGGAGUUCAUAGGGUAGGUGCCACCACACUAAAAGUCUGAUUCCUGAAUUGUACAGAAUGGACCUCCUGAUGAGAUGCUAUCUGCAGGAGCACAGUGAUUAGCUGGGUAUAUAAGGGGUGAGAUGACCUUUUAAGAAUCCUGGUCCCAAACUGUAUAGAGCUUUUACAUCAAUACUGGCCCCUUGAAUUUAGCCCAGUAGUAGCUAACUGGCAGUCACUGUUCUCUCUGUAAAGAGAUAGCAGAGUGAAAUAUACUCGGAGUCAAGCAGUGAUUUCAUGCUCUUUAUUGCAGCUCAUAAAACAGUGAAUUGAAUUUCCCCCAAAACCUCAGGCUUUAUAUACCGGUACAUUAUCUACACAAUGGGGUCCUGUCUGAUUGGCUGAUUCUGCUUCCCACCUGGAGUCUGAUUGGGCUGCUCCUGCAGGCCAAUCAGUUGUUGCAUUCUAGGAUCCUACUGGCCUAAUAGGAUGAUUAACUUCCUUCUGGGGCCUGAUUGGGCAGCUCCUGCAGGCCAAUCAGGUUGUUGCAUUCUAGAAUCCUACCUGUCUAUUGUUCUUGGAUCCAAGCUCAGUACAUAACACAGAGACAGCCCUACUGACAAACAGACAACUUAAUUUUUCACUGCAGGUCAUAUUUUAAAAGAAUUUAAAUGAUUCACACUGUCCACUGAAUGUCGCCUAGUUGCAUAGACUAGUCCUGAUCAGUUCCUGGAAGUCAUGGGGGCGUACAGAGAUUGCUCUUGUGCUCAAGUCCUGUUUGUGGGUUUCCCACAGGCAUCUGGUUAGCCACUGUGAGAACAGGAUGCUGGACCAGAUGAGCUACUGGCCUGACCCUGCAGGCUUUUCUGAACAAGACAAUUUUAGAGAGGUUCUGUUGCUUCAAGGAAGCUUCCUUGGCCUGCAGCAUACCCUCCAACAUUUCUUUGAUAAAAAUAGGGACAUCCUAUUUUUGAAUUAUGGUGCUGGAGGCGACUCUUGAGAGUCCCAUGGACUGCAAGAAGAUCAAACCUCUCCAUUCUGAAGGUAAUCAGCCCUGAGUGCUCCCUGGAAGGACAGAUCCUGAGGCUGAGGCUCCAAUACUUUGGCCACCUCAUGAGAAGAGAAGACUCCCCGGAAAAGGCCCUGAUGCUGGGAAAGAUUGAGGGCACAAGGAGAAGGGGACGACAGAGGACGAGAUGGUUAGAUAGUGUUCUUGAAGCUACCAGCAUGAGUUUGACCAAACUGCGGGAGGCAGUGGAAGACAGGAGUGCCUGGUGUGCUCUGGUCCAUGGGGUCAUGAAGAGUCGGACAUGACUAAACGACUAAACAACAACAAAUUCCAUAAUAAUAAGAAUGUUAUUAUUAUACCCCACCCGUCUGACUGGGUUUCCCCAACCACUCUGGGCAGCUUCCAAAAUAUAUAAAAACAUAAUAAAACAUUAAACAUUUUAAAACUUCCCUAUUCAGGACUGCCUGCAGGUGUCUUCUAAAAGUUGUCUAGUUACUUAUCUCCUUGGCUUGAGAGUCACAUAACUCCGUACCCUCCAACAUUUCUCUGAUGAAAAUAGGGAUGGCCUAAGGAAAAGUGGGACAUUCUGGGAUCAAAUCAGAAACCGGGAUGGCUUCUCUAAAUCCGGGACUGUCCCUGGAAAAUAAGGAUACUUGGACGGGCUGCUGCAGGUCAUUUCACUGACCAGAGCAGGAUGGUGGUGCCAGUCUUGGGGCUGUUCAAGAGCAGCUUUAGGUCAUGAGACAAAUGACCAAUGGAUACAAGGCAAACAUGUUUGUAACAUAAAGUAGGAUUCAGCUCUGAGAUCCCACCUGUGAGAGCUGAAAGCUUCCACCAGCCCCCUCAUUCACUCCCCCCCAAGAAGAAGAAGAAGAAGAAGAAGAAGAAGAAGAAGAAGAAGAAAGAGCAAGUUAUGCAGCUAAGGCUGUGCUCAGUCCUUCAAGGAGGAGUGGAAACUGAGAGACCUAUCAAGUCCCAAAUAAAAGCCAGACCUUUAUUUUUCCAGUAAUGGAAAACAGUGUUUGGCACCCACAGUGGAAUUUAGGGUUAUUCGCUCUAGUCCAAACCGGAAAAAAGGAAUCUCCCAGAAUAAAUAGAAGUGAGAAUUAGCCGCAUAACCAGAGUAACUGGAAAGAGUAGAGCGACCUCAGGAAAUAACUAGAAUUUGAGCCAAAGCCCAUAGAAGUGAAUGGGUGUUUCCCAUAUAACACCACAAUGUCAAAAUAGAUAUUUCUUCCAGAUUGUAUCCCCAGCAUUGGAACAAUUAGUAAAUAUUCCUAAUUAUAAAACACUUAAGAACCUAAAAAUGCAACCCCAGGGAUUUUUUAUUAAAUCAGAGCACUUAUGCAUAUAUUAGUUCUUUUAAAAAAGAAAGAAAGAAAGAAAAAGAAAAAGAAAGGGCCACAAUGUAAGUGGAACACUUAUUUCAGAUAUAAACGUGAACCCAAGCAGUAUUAAGUUUUGGAACAGGUCAUAAAUUUUUAGCUAUGAUUCCAGGUCUAUCCAACCUUUCUAGUGUAGGGAAAAUAUUUGGAGAGAUAUAAAAGACCCUGGAAUGAGCCCACUUUCUCAAGAUGAGUCUUCUAUAUGGUAGGGAAAUAAGCAAAUAUUUCCCACCCUCUGAAGAUUUCUGCUAAAGAUCCAAUACCCAGAGAAAUGACAUCCAGAUUCAAAUGGUAUUUCAGAUGUUAUUUCUGAUUCUUUGGCAUUCGAUCCAGAGUUUCCAUCACCCGCAGUGGCUCCCAUUGGAACUUGGAUAACUUGCAUCAGCACAUUUCUGAGCACAAUUCAAAGUGUCGGUGCUAACCUUUGAAGCCCUAAAUGGCUCCGACCAGAUAUAACUGAAGUAGCGUCUCCAACCCCAUCGUUCAGCUUGGACACUGUGGUCCAGCUCUGAGGGCCUUCUGGCGGUUCCCAGCAACCAGGCAACUACCUUCUUAGUAAGAUAGUUGUGCCCAUCCUGCGGAACACCCUCCCAUCAGAUGUCGAGAUAAACAACUAUGUGACUUUUAGAAGACAUCCCUGUAUAGAGAAGCUUUUCAUGUUUGGUGUUUUACUGUGGUUUUAUAAAUUGUUGGAAGCUGCCCAGAGUGGCUGGGACAACCCAGUCAGAUGGGUGGCAUAUAAAUGGUGUCUCCGAAAAAUUUUACACAUCACUUGGGAAGACAGGUGAACCAAUGCCAGUGUACUGGAAGAAGCAGAGAUCACCAGUGUCGAAGCAACGAUCCUUCAACAUCAGCUUCAUUGGACUGGUCAUGUUGUUUGGAUGCCUGAUUAUCGUCUUCCUAAGCGACUACUCUAUUCCAAACUUUAAAAUGGAAAGCUGGUGGUCAACAAAAUGCUGGUGGUCAACAAAAGAGGUUUAAAGACUCUCUCAAGGCAAAUCUUUAAAAUGUAGUAGAAACACUGACAACUGGGAAACACUGGCCUGCGAGCGCUCCAGUUGGAGAACAGCCUUUACCAAAGGUGUCAUGGACUUUGAAGAUGUUCAAACUCAGGACGAAAGGGAGAAAUGUGCUAAGAGGAAGGCACAUUUGGCAAACCCUCAUGGUGAUCAACUCCUGCCAGAAAACCUAUGUCCCCACUGUGGAAGGACGUAUGGAUCCAGAAUUGGCCUUCACAGUCACUUACAGACACACUGUUAAAACCGUGUUCAUGAAAGACCAUCUUACUCAGCUACGAGUGAUUGGCAAAAAAGAAUAUAAAUAAAUUAUUAUUGUUAUUGUUGUUAUUUUUAUUUUAAUAGAUUUGCUGUCAGGAGACUUCAUUUACAACAUCUGGAUUUACGUAUAAGCUAAACAAGCAUAGCUUAGGGUCCCACUCUCUUAGGGGUCCCCAAAAAAUUUAAAGAAAAAAACACUGGAUGUACAUUUCCAAAAUAUAAGAUAAAAAACAAAUAAAAUAAAACCUACAUACAGCAACAGUGUUUUGUGUUGUACAGGCUCCUAUGAUGUAAGUAAUGGGUACCGCCUGCUAGCCUGCUCCCUAAAAUAUCACUGGUUUGCUCAUUCCUAUAUAUAGGGUGCCUACAUUCUGUAUGGACUGGUUGAAUGGCAACAUGUGCAACUGGCUUUAGAUACCAUUAGGUCCAUAAAUGACCAUAUAGCAUAUUGAUGCUUUUGAACUGUGGUGCUGGAGGAGACUCUUGAGAGUCCCAUGGAGUGCAAGAAGAUCAAACCUAUCCAUUCUUAAGGAAAUCAGCCCUAAGUGCUCACUAGAAAGACAGAUCGUGAAGCUGAGGCUCCAAUACUUUGGCCACCUCAUGAGAAGAGAAGACUCCCUGGGAAAGACCCUGAUGUUGGGAAAGAUUGAGGGCACAAGGAGGACGAGAUGGUUGGACAGUGUUCUCGAAGCUACCAGCAUGAGUUUGACCGGGCUGCGGGAGGCAGUGGAAGACAGGAGUGCCUGGCGUGCUCUGGUCCAUGGGGUCACGAAGAGUCGGACACGACUAAACGACUAAACAACAACAGUAUAUAUUCAACACACAAAACACAGCAACAAUUUGUUGUUGACAAAGGACAGCUGGAUAUAUAAAGGGCCCCAUUACCUUCAGUAGAUUAGGGCCUCAUCAAACCUAAAUCCGGCCCUGCCACCGAAGUGGCCUGUUGCCUGCUGAAGUCCCAUUGAAAACAGCCAGAGGCUGUAUGGCAGCGUGCCAAAGUCCCACUGAAGAUGGCCAGCAGUUGCCAAACGGGAUGCUGAAGUCCUGUUCAAAAUGGCCAGAGUCUUGCAAAGCGGCUUGCCUUGUCAAAUCACUUCCACAGCCAUUGAGAAAAAAACAGCAGAUUAAUCCAGAAAGCCUCCGAAGAAGGAGGAUGUGGAAGCUGCUACUUGUUACAUGGCUUACGCUACGCCGCAUGAAUCAUCCUUAGCUGUAUAAUCAAGUAAUUGUAAUUGCUUUUAAUAAUUUUCGGCUAAAAAACUAUGAUAGUUGCGGACAGCUAUAAAUAACUGUAAUGAAACACGUUAUUUGUGCUGUGCCUUUGCAUGCACUUGUUUAGCUCUCUUGCUGCUAACUUGAAACAUCUGCUUCUUUAGAAGUCGAGAGGCAUUCCACAGCAACUAAUAGAGCUCUCAAAGUGACUCAUGUACUAAAUGGCAACAUUUGACAAGAUUCAGCAGUUGAUUUCUAGCGGGGAAGGAGGCUGUGGCGAAAUGGAAAAUUCAGUAUGUCUUCUUUAAAUAAUAAUCAUAAAAGAAAACACCCAUCUGUCUCACAUCAUGCUUAUAUAACAGCACACCGCAAGCUACCACAUCAUAUGGCAAGGGGGCAUCUUUAACAAUCCCCACUUCCUUUACCUCCAAAUCAGAUCCAGAGCACAAUAAGAACAUAAGAGCUCUGCUGGAUCAGACCAGAGGCCUCUGAGAGUAGAGGAAGAAAAUGGCCAUUGUGGCUAGUGGCUGUUGAUAGCAGGAUCUUCCAUGAAUUUUCAAGGGCCGCCUCUUUGCAUAUGGACCUAUCCGGACCCUGAGAUCAUAUUUUGAGUCCCUUCUCCAUGUGCCUCUUCCUUGAGAGGUCCAGAGGGUGGCAAUGUGAGAAGAGGCCUGUUCUGCAAUGGCUCUCUGUUUUUGGAAUGCUGUCCCCAGGGAGGUUCACCUGGUGCCUUCAUUAUACACCUUUAGGCACCAGGCAAAAGCGUUCCUCUUUUUUGACCAGGCCUUUGGCUGAUUGACAUCCAAUGCCCUUUAAAAAUGUGUGUGGGGGGGUUAUUGGGUGUGGGUAUAAAUUAGUAUUAGUAUUAGUAUUAGUAUUAUAUUUUUAAAGCCAUCUUCAGCUCAUCCGCUUUUGCUUGACCCAUAUAUUUACCAGUUAAUUUCACCGGGUCCAAGAGCUUUUCUUCAUUGUUCUGAGGCUUUGCCUUACAAUAUAAUAAAUAAUAAUAAUAAUAUUAAAAAAAUACCCUGCCCAUCUGGCUGGGUAUCUUUCCUUACCCGACAAAUUAAAACUUUGUUAAGCAAAAUCUCUCUUUGGAUGUUCCACAUAUCCGAUUAUGAUCCAAUUCAGUGGGUUAGAUUGGAUUUUCCCAAGGCAUAGCCACAGAACGAGGAGAAAGGCUUGCAGACUUGGAGGAGUUGAUCAGUACACAACACGAUCAAAAUAUGGGUCAGGCAAAAAAUGCAGAUGAGCAUCUUGUAGAAGCAUGUUCCUUACAUGCCGUGUGAACAAGUGCUUUAUUGCCUGCCCCGAAUCUGCCAACAUGCAGCUGUGCUGGAUAACACUAUGUUCUAGCAUCUGGUAUAUACAGAGAGAAAUGGAUAUACAGUGGUACCUCGGGUUAAGAACUUAAUUCAUUCUGGAGGUCUGUUCUUAACCUGAAACUGUUCUUAACCUGAAGCACCACUUUAGCUUAUGGGGCCUCCUGCUGCCGCUGCGCCGCCGCCGCGCCGCCGCCGCGCAAUUUCUGUUCUCAUCCUGAAGCAAAGUACUUAACCUGAGGUACUAUUUCUGGGUUAGCGGAGUCUGUAACCUGAAGCGUAUGUAACCUGAAGCGUAUGUAACCUGAAGCGUAUGUAACCCGAGGUACCACUGUAAUAGUUGGGAAUUGUUUGCAUUUUUAGUGGAACUGGGGAGGGAUGCUCUGCCCAUUGAGAUUAAGGAGCAAGAAGGAAAUGGGGGAACAGACCUAUGUGGAUAAGCUCAACAUCAGGAUUUCCAGAAAAUUCCACCCUUAAUCACAAUUCCCUCCCCAUCUCAUUUGUAUAUCACAAAAAUAGCAUAAUAAAUGUGGAAAAUAUCUACAACAUAUGUUUCAUUGUUAGUGGUCAGUGUACAAAUUCUUGGUUCAUGAAUUGGUUUAAAGAAUUAGGAAGGGGGAAGAGAGGGAGUGGGGAGUGGUGUGGGGGGUGGUUAUGUGUCUAUUCUUCUACUUAGUGUAUGUGUGGGGUUCUGUGUCAGUGUUACUUGCAUGGGUUCUCUUACUAUUCACUUGUAGUAAUCACGACAUAUUUUAAUCAUUGUCAUUCUUACAAAAUCACAUGGGCAGGAUGAUUUAUAAGUGGUAUCUUUUAAAAAAUAAAAAUAAAAAUGUUGUGUUAGGAAACCGGAAUUUCUGCAGCGUCACACCUGACAAUCCCUGCACAAACUCGCUGACUUGUGUUUACUGAGCUAGCAGUUUUCAGUGUGACAAAGACCUUAAAUCCCAACAUUGACCUGAGCUUUUAUUUCAAACCGUUUGCCCAUGCUGUCAUGGUACCUGGUAGACGGACAAAUAUUUGCAAGAAAACCACUUGCUUGGAACAGUCAGGCCUGGUUCCCCCCCCCCCCCCGCUCCUUGGUGGGUCCUUGCCAGCAUUAGGAGGACAUAGUACAAUAUGUUUCUAUGUGAGUCAUUUGCAGUGACAUAGAUGUGCUCUUGUGCAAGGCUCAAAAGCAGCUUUAAGUGUGCCAAGAUGGGAAUCGUGGUCUUGUUCCUUAAGAAGAGACAUUUUUAGGCUGGAAAGUUUUACAUUGGCUAUCUGUGUGUGAUAGGGUCUGUGUACCAAAGACCUCUCAGAUUUAUAAGGGGCGGGGAAUGAGGGUGAUCUGGGCUGAACUCUUCCUCCCUUUCCCCUGGCGAUCUAUUGCCCGUGACCACCUUGGCUCAUUCCUGGUACCAGAAUUGAACUAAUGACAAGAAGAAGAAGAAGAAGGAGGAGGAGGAGGAGAGGAGGAGGAGGAGGAGUUUGGAUUUGAUAUCUCGCCUUUCACUCCCCUUCAGGAGUCUCAAAGCGGCUGACAUUCUCCUUUCCCUUCCUCCCCCACAACAAACACUCUGUGAGGUGAGUGGGGCUGAGAGACUUCAGAGAAGUGUGACUGGCCCAAGGUCACCCAGCAGCUGCAUGUGGAGGAGCGGAGACGCGAACCCGGUUCCCCAGAUUACGAGACUACCGCUCCUAACCACUACACCACACUGGCUCUCAAAAAAGGGAAGAGCUAUAACCACUGAUGGAGGUGGAAUUUUUAUUCAGUUCACAUUUAAAGGCAAAAGUACCGAAUUCACACUUUAUGAAAAGCACAACAACAACACCCCUCGAAAUUGGCAUUUAUCCAAAUUUUGCAAUGCAGCUCUCCGGCCAAGUGGUGUGUACAAAAAUGCACCUAACAAGGUAAUGCUUCUGUAUGAAUAUGUAGUGAAAAUAACAUGCAAAGAUGGAUUCUUUGCAGAGGAAAUUGAUUUGCAAAAGUGUGGGCUUUAGGCAAAAUUGCAUCAAAACAAAUAUUAGGUUAUUUUUUAUUUUGUUUAAAUUUUCAUAUUUUAUAUAAAUGUAUAAAAAGCAAGGGACGCAGGUGGCGCUGUGGGCUAAACCACAGAGCCUAGGACUUGCCAAUCAGAAGGUCGGUUGUUCGAAUCCCUGCGACGGGGUGAGCUCCCGUUGCUCGGUCCCUGCUCCUGCCAACCUAGCAGUUCGAAAGCACGUCAAAGUGCAAGUAGAUAAAUAGGUACCGCUCCAGCGGGAAGGUAAACGGCGUUUCCGUGCGCUGCUCUGGUUCGCCAGAAGCAGCUUAGGCAUGCUGGCCACAUGACCCGGAAGCUGUACGCCAGCUCCCUCGGCCAAUAAAAUGAGAUGAGCGCCGCAACCCCAGAGUCGGUCAUGACUGAACCUAAUGGUCAGGAGUCCCUUUACCCUUUACCUAUAAAAAGCAAAGGCAACAACAACAACAACCACAGUUAUUAUUUAUACUCUGCCCACCUGGCUGGGUUUCCCCAGCCACUCUGGAUGACUCCCAGAAUUUAUAACAUGAUAAAACAUCAAGCAUUAAAAACAUCCCUAAACAGGGCUGCUGUCUUCUAAAAGUCAUAUAGUUGUUUAUUUCCUUGACAUCUGAUGGGAGGGCGUUCCACAGGGCGGGUGCCACAACCGAAAAGGCCCUCUGCCUGGUUCUCUGUAACCUCACUUCUUGCAGUGAGGGAACUGCCAGAAGGCCCUCGGCGCGGGACCCAGGAGAUGGAGUGACUCCACCUAGUCCAGCAUCCUGUUCUAACUGUGGCCAACCGAAUGCCUAGAGGAAACCCACAAGCAGGAUCCAAACACAACGACACUCUCCCUUUCCUCCCUUUGCCCCCAGCAAAUGGUAUUCAGAAGCAUUACUGCCUCUGACAGUGGAGGCAGGGAAUAGCCCUUGUGGCAAGUAGGUGUUGAUAGCCCUCGCCUCCACAGAUAGCCUCCUACCACUUUUCUGUGCAUUUAGCCAAUGAGUGAAGCCACAGUCAUGCUUGACACAUGCUACAGAGAAAUUUUAGAGUUACACAUCAUGUGCUCACAGUCUUCCACGCUGUUUAAAUUAUAGUAAUCAUUUCAAAAUUGCACCUAUUCAUAUAAAUUAGCACAUGCAAAUCUGCAUCUCAUUUUGCCCUCUUUUUUUGUAAUGUGGCCACCCCAGAGCCACUGGCAGUUGGUUUUAUUCCCAUCUCCACCUCCUUUACCAAUGUCUAUAACUGCCCAAAAUCAUACAGAGCCCAUGGUUACAGUGAAAAUGCAAAGGUAAAGUAAAAGGAGGGGACGCGGGUGGCGCUGUGGUCUAAACCACUGAGCCUCUUGGGUCGGCGGUUCGAAUCCCCGCAACAGAGUGAGCUCCCAUUGCUCUGUCCCAGCUCCUGCCAACCUAGCAGUUCAAAAGCACGCCAGUGCAAAUAGAUAAAUAGGUACUGCUGUGGUGGGAAGGUAAACGGCUUUCCACGCACUCUGGCUUAUGUCAUGGUGUUCCGUUGCACCAGAAGCGGUUUAGUCAUACUGGCCACAUGACCUAGAAAGCUGUCUGUGAACAAAUGCUGGCUCCCUCGGCCUGAAAGCAAGAUGAGCGCUGCAACCCCACAGUCUGGACCUACCCACCCAGGGGUCCUUUACCUUUAUUUUUUGUAGUAAAAAGGUAAUGAAACAAUGUUUGCCUCUUCUUAGACCCUGCCACGGUUAUAUAACAGAGUGAGGCAGGUGUAUCAGGUGGGAGAUGUUAGGGAAUGCAACAAGUGGUUGCUGCUGGAGCCUGGGAAGUGCCCCCUAAGAUAGUCUCCUACUCUCCGGUGCAGUAGAGCAAUGUUCUUCAAUCUUGGCUCCCCAGACGUUGUUGGACUGCAACGCCCAUCAUCCCUGACUACUGGCUAAACUGGCAGGUGAUGAUGGGCAUUGUAGUCUGACAAUGUCUUGGGACCCAAGGUUGAUGAGCACUGCAGUAGAGGGCACUGCCCCACCACCAAUGUUAAAAUAAUGAUCUAUUCCCGGUCCAGUACAUGAAACAAGGGCAUGAUCUCUUGUCUUUUAGCCCAGGCAGCAAAAUUUAUUGGGCCAAUGCUAGCAGACCUGUUGACAAAGUAAGAAUGCUGGUAUUCUACCAGAUAGAUAGGUAUCUUGAGUAUUACUUUCUAAAUCCUAUUGUGGCUAGGAGCUUGGCACACACAUCUGACAGCUGUUUUAGAGCUAGGAACGCACAGUAUAGGUAACAUCUAGCACAGCUGACAUUGGCAGUGGAAAAAUCCAGUUUAUCUUUGGGGACUGCUGGAAGGGAUUUGCAGUAAUUAAGGCCUGAUCCUGCAAGAGGAGUUCACCAGGGACUAAGGCUCUGCCUGAACAGCUCUUUUAUCAAGGUCACAGGCAUGUGUUGCCAAUGGCAGUGUGUGUUAGGGAGGCAUAGCUGAAGAUAAGGCAGCUUUCAGCAACCUGGUGCCCCUCAUAUGUUUGUUGGAUGACAAUUCCCAUCAGCCCCAGCCGGAAUGACAGUCCAAACAUAAAUAGGGCACCACUUUGAUGAAGGCUGCUUUAUGGGGAUAGCUCAGUUGCUCAAAGCUGACCUGCCGAAGGAGAAAACAAUGGAAAGCAACAGGAAAAGGUCACAACUCCAGCUUUUCAAUGAUGAGGACCAAAGUAGGUUUUGAAAGAUAUAUAUGGUGAUACAUAUCACAGCUGAUCAGAUUUCACUUACUUGGUAUCUAUAACAUUACAAUCCCAUUAGUCUUCUAUUCACACAUAACGCCUGCCAAUUCAAUAUUUGAAAUAUUUCUAAGACUGGGGGAAAAUAGAUCUAUAUAACCAACCUUAAUAUUUUUGUACAGAUUGUCCUGUUCUUUCUCCUCCAUUAAUGGGAGCUGGAAAGCAACAGAAACGUAUUCAGGGCUGGUUCCAGAAUAAUGGUUUCCCUCUGUGCGUGUGUUCUGGAAGGAGUCCCACGCAGGAAUACAUGGGGGGAAUGCAUGUUGCAUCGGAGCAGAACAUUUGCAGACAUCUUGCUGAGAUCCACGAGCAGGACUGGCAAACAAGGUCACCGGGGAGAUUUCCCAAAUUUCAGGGCUAUUUGAGGGGAAUUUGCUUGCUUGAGUGCUUUUUAUGUGUGGAAUCCAGCCUAGCGCUAAGUGAACAUUCCAUCGGCGCAAGCAUUUCUGCUUGCGCUACAGAAUGUUUCCCACCUGCCCCUCCUAAAUGUGCCCCCAAACCUCCAAAGCAGAUGUUGGGAGGAUGGUGGAAGAGGUCCCAUUGUGCGAGUGGAAACUUUUGAGAGGACCGGACAGGUUAGUUGAAUACUACUCUAUGUGUUUUGAGAAAGGCCUGUCUCAAUAGCACGGUUUUUAGGAGACGUCUAAAAGAAGGCAGGUGUGAUUCCUGCGGAACCUCUACCAGCAGGGAGUUCCACAAGGGAGGGCCUGCCACACUAAAGCAUCAGUCCAACAGAAGCUCAGGGACAUUGGGAACCACAAGCAGUGCUCAGUGAUCGAGGCAGAGCAUAAGGCAUCAAAUGGUCCUUAAUGUACACUGGACCUAAGCUAUUUAGGGCUUUGUGAAUUAAUGCAAGACCCUUGAACCUGGUCUGGUAGAAAACUGGUAACAAUUUCAGCUUUCUCAGAUGCAUUCUGAACUAGCUGCAUCUUCUGGACCAGAUACAAGGACAGCCCCACACAAAGCAUGUUACAGUAAUCAAAUUUUCCGAUGUGAGAGAGUGCCAUUGCUGCUGGCAUACUCACUUUGAUUGGGUAUCUCUUGUUAUCUUGCAAUAGCUACUCUACAGUAGCUCUACAGAACUCUACAGAAGCAAGAAAUGAAAGGAUAUUUAUAUUUAUAUAUUUCAGCCGAGCUGGAUAACUUGUGUGAGAUUAUUUUGAGUUGAGGAAAAGCUGUGGCUUAGGGGGGAAAAGUAAUCUAAGAAAAUUUGGAUUUGCUUAGCCAGCUCUCUUUUGUUUAUAUACUGGGUCUUGUAAGUAAGAAGUGAAAUAGAAGAUAAAUGGCUACUUUUUAACCAAAUAAUUGUUAUUACAAAACCCUUAAUUCAUCUGCUGCACACAUGGGCAAAAUCAGGAUUUAAUUUUUUAAAUUUUAUUUUCAUGCUUAAAGUAAUAUUUUACUUUUAAUGUAAAAUAUAUUAUGCUAUGCCCUGUUCACAAGAGCCUUAAAAUAUCCAGUGCUCUAUACUAUUGGAAACUGGUGGGGUUUAACUUGGAGAAGCCACAGUCAAUGGAAGGUUGGGUGGUCUGGAGCUUAUUGGACACCCAGAUAUUAUAUGGUUUCCAGAAAGACUGUGGUUUAAUUGUGGCCAUUUCAUUUUGAUUCCGAACACUGAACCAUUAUUACACAUACAUAUUUUACGGGAGAGGUAAUUGCAACUCCAUUGGCCUCAACAUGAUAUAAUUAAAAGAUUCUGGCAUUUGCAAUUAUCCUGCACACAUCUGCAGCUUUGUAUACUUUACACCUCUAUGAAUUAUACAUCACCCGCCCACCCCUAAUUGAGAUUAACAAGGAGAUGGUAUUGUCACACACACACACACACCUAUUGGAGGUUAGCAAGGAGACCAUGUUGUCAGUCAUUACGCCUCACACAUUUUUCAAUGCAAUGUUAACCUUGUUUAUUGAGAAAUAAAUCCCACUGAGCAUCGUGGGGCUUGCUCCCAGGUAAGGCGGCAGUCCUAUAGGCAAGAAGCUGGCAUAAAGCAAACUCAGUAGAAGUUAAGCUGCCAUAAAGUACAUCGUAUCCAAAGUGCAUUCAGGAGCAAGGAUACUUCUGGUUGAGCUGGCCUAAGCCUGGCAGGGGGAAAACAAGCUAUUAAAAUGGUGUUUGGGUUAUACACUCUUUUUGCCAGCUUAACUCACGCUGGGGUUGCCAGGCCAUGUGAUGGAUCUAAAUGGGCUUAGGAUCCAGCCUAUUUCCGCCCCCCCACUCCAUCUCUGGUCCUGGCUCUAUCCUGCCCCCUUUUCAGGGCUGACACCAGCUUAAGAUCUGUCAGGCAUGGGUUUGGGAACAUGCCUUCGCUGAGAUACUGUGUUUGUUGUUGUUUAGUCAUUUAGUCGUGUCCGACUCUUCAUGACCCCAUGGACCAGAGCACGCCAGGCACGUCUGUCUUCCACUGCCUCCCGCAGUUUGGUCAAACUCAUGCUGGUAGCUUCAAGAACACUGUCCAACCAUCUCGACCUCUGUCGUCCCCUUCUUCUUGUGUCUUCAAUCUUUCCCAACAUCAGGGUCUUUUCCAGGGAGUCUUCUCUUCUCAUGAGGUGGCCAAAGUAUUGGAGCCUCAGCUUCACGAUCUGUCCUUCCAGUGAGCACUCAGGGCUGAUUUCCUUAAGAAUGGAUAGGUUUGAUCUUCUUGCAGUCCAUGGGACUCUCAAGAGAUACUGUGUAGAGUCACCCUUAAAAGUAUAGUCAGGACAGGGAUCAGUGAGAGGCAGCAGCCUUAUCUGUUCUCUGGGAAAUCAGUGUUGCAUGAAGGAAGGAUCUAGCAGGGUUCAAGUCCUAUAGCAUCUAUCCAGUAUUCAGAAUGAAUUAUUGCUGCAAGUGAUCUCAAGGAACCAUGGGAUUGUUCCUUAUGUGUACAUCUCAUAACCUAACACUUCAUUCACUAUAUGAAUGGGAAAGGAGAACGUUUGGUAGGCUUCACUAUAGUUCUCCCCAGUUGCUCCUAAGCCAGUUCAUUUUUUAAAUUCUUCUUCUCUUUUACUUGCUGAUAAUGGCUCUUCUUGCAGCAGAUUCACCUGUCAUUCCUUGAUGAAGCAAAACCAUUCAUCCAUUGCACGGCUCUGACUGGUGCUGCGGAAAUACAUUCCCCUAGCAAUCAAGGCCCUAGCUUGGCAAAGGAUGUCUGAAUGACCUCUCAAGGGACAUGCUAAUGUGAAAAACAUCGCUGGGUCAUCCGCCACCACUCCAUCUUUGUGAGCAAACCCUCACCUGGAAAGCUCCUUAGAGUCACAUCUCCAGGCUAUCAAGUAUUUGAAUGUAAGCUAUCAUCGCUUGGUGAUGAGGCGCUUAAAAUGCAAUGGCAUAACAGGGAAAGGUAUAAGGCAUGCAAUGUUUUCCCAGGCCUAAGAACCUACUAGCCUGUAUGCCAUGCACAUGAUAUAACUAUCUGCUAAAAAAAUACUGCAUAUCUCCUUUAAUCCCAAAAAAUCCAGUAGGUGACUUUCUUGAGCUUCUUUUGACUGUUUUUUUUUUUGUAAUUUAAGUCUGCUGUGUUGCAUGGAGGUAUGUAGCUUCUUGAGUUCAGCAGUGCAACUGUAUACACCAGAUAAGGGUAUCUAACAAGAGAAUAUUUGUAUUUAUUUCUACCUAGCACUUUUUCUCAGCAGUACACUUUCUUCUGGCAAAUGCUACAAUGAAGUCUAAGGAGGAAGACAUUACAAGACACGUCUCCUGGUGAGAUAGUACUUCCCUUGGAUGUUGUGCAAGCUGCAAACCCAACAGCCAAAUGACAUCAUCUGUCUCAAAAACCGCAAUGAUGCAUCCUGGAAUGUCAUCUUGCAAUUUAAAAAUUAGGCUUAUAUGGUCAAGAAGCUUUCCUCGGUUCCUGUAAAUGUCCACACAUAUUUAAUAUUGUUUUCAUAUCAUUUGGACACUGUUCUCCAACACAAAUGGUGUGGCAUUGCGUUUAUUAAACAAUAAGGAUUUAUGGAACGUUCUAAAACACUUUGUUUUUUGAGAAUUAAAGCUCUUACAAAUUCACUCAAGCACCAAAUAGAAUGAAGAGUGCAAAUUAUUGCACAAGAAAGUAAUAGCUCUGGUGUAUCAGGACCAUGGCCCAUCUAGUUCAGGAUCCUACCAUGGUUAAACAGAUUCACUUGACAAUACCAGCAAGCAGGACCUGAACACAAUUGGAUUCUCCUCUGUCUCCAAUAGUGGAUAUGGAGCAUAGCCAUCAUGGUUAGAGAAAUUCAUGGAGGAUAAUCUGUGGCUACUAAUACUCUCGUAAGAAAGAAGGCACCUGCUUUAACUUCAAAAUGGUGGAAGCCGUAAAUACAAACUCUAUUAUAUUUAAUUAGAUCCUGUUUGAAUCUGCCUCUCCCACAAACCUAAAAACUGUAGCUAAGCAAUCCUAUACUCACAUAACUGGUAGAAAUCCCCAUUGAAACAUUGGCAAGUAACUAGGGUCCUCCUCUGAGGUCACAUCUAAAUCUGUAAUGGUUCUGCCAGGGAGUUAGUGGGAUGCCACAACUGGUUGUCGCAGGAUCCUGGCUACACCAGGACAUUUCAGGGUGGCCUGGAGUCUUUCUGUCAGCCUAGUUGCACACAUGUUCCCUGGAUGCUGAUGGUUUAUUAAUUUAUAUACGUACCGCUUAAGGCCAAAGAUACCCUAGGACUUGCCGAUCAGAAGGUCGGCGGUUCGAAUCCCCGCAACGGGGUGAGCAAGUAGAUAAAUAGGUACCACUCCAGCGGGAAGGUAAAUGGCAUUUCCGUGCGCUGCUCUGGUUCGCCAGAAGCGGCUUAGUCAUGCUGGCCACAUGACCCAGAAGCUGUACGGUGGCUCCCUCGGCCAAUAAAGCGAGAUGAGCGCUGUAACCCCAGAGUUGGUCACGACUGGACCUAAUGGUCAGGGGUCCCUUUACCUUUAAGCAUUUUACAAGUCUACAUAAACAUUGAAAUAAAAACAUCCACAAUUAAAAUGCAACACAAAGCAAUCCCAUUCGAACAUUAAAACACUCAUAUGCCAUAAGCAAUCCAAUUAAAACAACACAGCAAAUUGAAACCGAAGACGGGCUCAGAAAUCAAGGGAAUGCCUGUGUGGAUGGAUACAUCUUCAAAAGCCGGUGGGAUGCCAAUACAGAUGGGCCCCUUUUUUUUAUGACAGUAGGGAAUGCAUCUCAUAAUGCCUCUGCCAUUUGUGAAAAGGCCUACCUCUGCAUCACCACAAGACCAUUGCAGGAUGAAUCAUGUUCCAUUGGCUUGUGCUCCUCUUGAAGCAGAGCAAAAGUAUGUGAAGGGAUGCCCACAUGUUGAUAGUGCCAUGCAAUAUCUAACUUGGUGUUGAUUAAUUUCAGUUGGGAGCAUCAGAUUGAGAAACUGCUAGUGAACCCCAAGCAGUGGAACUCUCAACACUGGAACACUUAAGAAGACAGACGGUCGACAGCACUUUCUUAGAGUGAGUAACCAAAUCUUGUUAGGAGACCAGUAAGUCUUUCUUUCUUUCUUUCUUUCUUUCUUUCUUUCUUUCUUUCUUUCUUUCUUGAUCUACCUGGGAGGGCUCUUCAGUGGGAGGUAAGCCACAACAGAAGACUCUGGCAGUAGUUUAGUCAGGCUAUGGGGAGGGUAAAGGAAAUUGAACUUGUGCUGAGAUUUUAAAAAGUACCCCCUCAUUUUAAAGACCAAUGCCUCUUGUUUAUUUAACUUAAUACUAUGUUACAUUGUAUAGGUAUAAUCAGGAGCUGCUAAGUAUAAAGGAACUUGAAAUGUUACAAAGAAGUUUCUCAGGUGCAUUGAUGUGUGUGGUGUGUUAAUGUGUUGCAAGCAGGCCCUCCCAGCUCUUUCCCCAUUUGGACAAAUGGAUUAGAUUGUCACCAAUAUUUGAAAACACAGGAGCUUCUAGUAUAACAGAAAACAAACUAGUAAGAAGUUUUUCAGUUUUUGGAGAACUGGGGGAACAUCCCUGCAAAUCCCAAUUAUUAAAAAGGCUACUGUGAAGAAUGGAACCAAAUUAUUAGCAAUGUAAAUGUGGUGUUUUGUUGUAAAAGCAGCACAUGCUGGGUGCAAUUCAGUAUAUACUUACUUGUGAAUACGUCUGAUUGAACUCAAUGGAAUUACUUCCAAAUACACAUGUUUGGAUUGCACUUAUAAGCAUCCAAAUCCUAAACUUUUCUAUUGAUCUGGUUUGUUUGUUUUUGCACUGGUAUAACUUAUAGUCUCUGCCUAUAGGGUUGUUUAAGUAUUUUAAUUGUGUAUUUCAAUUAUGAAUGCUUAUACCUGAAUGCUUGUGCAAUUGAUUUAAUGCUUAGCAGCAUAUUUUGGCAUUAUUCAAUAAAUAAAUAAAUGAAUAAAUAAAUAACUUGACGUGCUAGAUUUUCUGCUAAGAAAAUUUGGUACAAGUGACUUAAGCUUAUCAGCCAUGCCUGUACAUAAGAGAGACUAUGCUAUAUUCCAUGAGAUGGGAUGAAAAUGCUGCACAGCUACACCCGAAUAAGAUUCUCGUUUGAAGCCAAAAUAAAAUUGCAUUCUGCUUGCAAUUCAGCAUGCCGACAGAAAUCUGAACCUGAUCUUUAUUCACACCAGGAUCCAGUCCAGUAACCACAGCUUGAACCAAACCACACAAGUCUUUAUCUGUUGAGCUCUUCAAUACCCCAGUGAAUGUGAGCUAUACCAUGAACUCGUUCUUAUAGAGUUUGUCAGAAGACUGCUAACUUAACUCCAGCUGUCGAUGACUCUUCAAAGAAAGAGAGUAAGAGAUAACAUUCCAGUUAAGAAGUUCCCUUGACUGGUUUCAAAAUAAUUCGUCCACUUACAUUUUCAGAGAUCACUCUAUUACUUUGCACACAGAAGUUUGAAAUGGUAAAUACUGAAGACAAGGGGAGAGGAGAGAUUCUUGCUGCAUGGGGUAGCUCAGUUUUCGACAACUUGGAAGAUUUUGAAUCUAAAAAGUGUGUGCAUUUGUGUGUCUUUCUUUUGUAUUAUAUUGUGGUAUAUAUGGUUUUGUGGCAUAUAAAUUGAAAAAGGGCCUUUAUUUUGUAGUUUUUCACAAUACAUUACAGCUAUGCUUUAGGGUU